Long non-coding RNA from Salvelinus fontinalis (brook trout), 369 nucleotides. RefSeq lists it as uncharacterized. Lineage: Eukaryota; Metazoa; Chordata; Actinopteri; Salmoniformes; Salmonidae. The transcript is spliced from 3 exons. The record is from RefSeq and is a predicted model, not a curated record.
AGAGUGAUUAACAGAAAGGAAGAGAGUGAGAGAGAGGGAAGAGGUAAACAGAGUGAUUAACAGAAAGGAAGAGACAGUGGGAGAGAGGGAAGAGGUAAACAUAGUGAUUAACAGAAAGGACGAGACAUUGGGAGAGAGGGAAGAGGUAAACAGAGUGAUUAACAGAAAGGACGAGACAUUGGGAGAGAGGGAAGAGGUAAACAGAGUGAUUAACAGAAAGGACGAGACAUUGGGAGAGAGGGAAGAGGUAAACAUAGUGAUUAACAGAAAGGAAGAGAGUGGGAGAGAGGGAAGAGGUAAACAGAGUGAUUAACAGAAAGGACGAGACAUUGGGAGAGAGGGAAGAGGUAAACAUAGUGAUUAACAGAA